RNAcentral lists this ribosomal RNA (449 nucleotides) under uncultured bacterium. RNAcentral describes it as "partial 16S ribosomal RNA". It matches the Rfam family "Bacterial small subunit ribosomal RNA", at positions 29 to 523 of the family's 1533-position model. The record is from RNAcentral.
AACGAACGCUGGCGGCAUGCCUAACACAUGCAAGUCGAACGAGAUCUUCGGGUCUAGUGGCGCACGGGUGCGUAACGCGUGGGAAUCUGCCCUUUGGUUCGGAAUAACAGUUGGAAACGACUGCUAAUACCGGAUGAUGACGAAAGUCCAAAGAUUUAUCGCCAGAGGAUGAGCCCGCGUAGGAUUAGCUAGUUGGUGGGGUAAAGGCGCACCAAGGCGACGAUCCUUAGCUGGUCUGAGAGGAUGAUCAGCCACACUGGGACUGAGACACGGCCCAGACUCCUACGGGAGGCAGCAGUGGGGAAUAUUGGACAAUGGGCGAAAGCUUGAUCCAGCAAUGCCGCGUGAGUGAUGAAGGCCUUAGGGUUGUAAAGCUCUUUUACCCGGGGUGAUAAUGACAGUACCGGGAGAAUAAGCUCCGGCUAACUCCGUGCCAGCCGCCGCAGUAA